This 156-nucleotide small nuclear RNA is filed under the name Saimiri boliviensis boliviensis (Bolivian squirrel monkey). RNAcentral describes it as "U4 spliceosomal RNA (ENSSBOG00000003330.1)". The record is from RNAcentral. Lineage: Eukaryota; Metazoa; Chordata; Mammalia; Primates; Cebidae.
AUCUUUACACAGUGACAGUAUCAUAGCCAUUGAGGUUUAUCUGUGGCAUGAUCAUUGCUAACUGAUACUUCCCUCUUUAGGAAUUGAAACGUCCCUCUUUCAGAAUGAAAGCUUGGGGGAAUAAAAACAAAAACCUUCCCAAUACCCUGCCGGGUU